This 200-nucleotide unclassified non-coding RNA is filed under the name Biatriospora sp. Its description in RNAcentral is "partial internal transcribed spacer 2". Lineage: Eukaryota; Fungi; Ascomycota; Dothideomycetes; Pleosporales; Biatriosporaceae. The record is from RNAcentral.
UUAAGUUCAGCGGGUAUCCCUACCUGAUCCGAGGUCAAGUCAAAGAAGGGGCUUCUGGAGGACCCGUAUGUCAAGACGCCAGACGCGUUGUACUGCGCUGUAGCCAACAUACCGGCCGCCAAUGCAUUUGAGGUGAGUCCGCCGCGGGCGGGGACAAGCACCCAACACAAGCAGAGCUUGAAGGUACAAAUGACGCUCGA